UACGUGGGUAACCUGCCCUAAGGUGGGGGAUAACAUUUGGAAACAUGAUGCUAAUACCGCAUAAAACCUAGCACCGCAUGGUGCAAGGUUGAAAGAUGGUUUCAGCUAUCACUUUAGGAUGGACCCGCGGUGCAUUAGUUAGUUGGUGAGGUAAAGGCUCACCAAGACCGUGAUGCAUAGCCGACCUGAGAGGGUAAUCGGCCACACUGGGACUGAGACACGGCCCAGACUCCUACGGGAGGCAGCAGUAGGGAAUCUUCCACAAUGGACGAAUGUCUGAUGGAGCAACGCCGCGUGAGUGAAGAAGGUUUUCGGAUCGUAAAUCUCUGUUGUUGGAGAAGAACGUAUUUGAUAGUAACUGAUCAGGUAGUGACGGUAUCCAACCAGAAAGCCACGGCUAACUACGUGCCAGCAGCCGCGGUAAUACGUAGGUGGCAAGCGUUGUCCGGAUUUAUUGGGCGUAAAGCGAGCGCAGGCGGUUUCUUAAGUCUGAUGUGAAAGCCUUCGGCUCAACCGAAGAUGUGCAUCGGAAACUGGGAAACUUGAGUGCAGAAGAGGACAGUGGAACUCCAUGUGUAGCGGUGAAAUGCGUAGAUAUAUGGAAGAACACCAGUGGCGAAGGCGGCUGUCUGGUCUGUAACUGACGCUGAGGCUCGAAAGCAUGGGUAGCAAACAGGAUUAGAUACCCUGGUAGUCCAUGCCGUAAACGAUGAGUGCUAGGUGUUGGAGGGUUUCCGCCCUUCAGUGCCGCAGCUAACGCAUUAAGCACUCCGCCUGGGGAGUACGACCGCAAGGUUGAAACUCAAAGGAAUUGACGGGGGCCCGCACAAGCGGUGGAGCAUGUGGUUUAAUUCGAAGCAACGCGAAGAACCUUACCAGGUCUUGACAUCCUUUGACCACUCUAGAGAUAGAGCUUUCCCUUCGGGGACAAAGUGACAGGUAAGGUGCAUGGUUGUCGUCAGCUCGUGUCGUGAGAUGUUGGGUUAAGUCCCGCAACGAGCGCAACCCUUAUUACUAGUUGCCAGCAUUUAGUAGGGCACUCUAGUGAGACUGCCGGUGACAAACCGGAGGAAGGUGGGGACGACGUCAAAUCAUCAUGCCCCUUAUGACCUGGGCUACACACGUGCUACAAUGGAUGGUACAACGAGUCGCGAGACCGCGAGGUUUAGCUAAUCUCUUAAAACCAUUCUCAGUUCGGAUUGUAGGCUGCAACUCGCCUACAUGAAGCCGGAAUCGCUAGUAAUCGCGGAUCAGCAUGCCGCGGUGAAUACGUUCCCGGGCCUUGUACACACCGCCCGUCACACCAUGAGAGUUUGUAG
Molecule: ribosomal RNA, 1319 nt
Filed under: Latilactobacillus curvatus
Lineage: Bacteria; Bacillati; Bacillota; Bacilli; Lactobacillales; Lactobacillaceae
Description: bacterial SSU rRNA
Rfam family: Bacterial small subunit ribosomal RNA
Source: RNAcentral